UGGGGAAUAUUGGACAAUGGGCGAAAGCCUGAUCCAGCCAUGCCGCGUGUGUGAAGAAGGUCUUCGGAUUGUAAAGCACUUUAAGUUGGGAGGAAGGGCAUUAACCUAAUACGUUAGUGUUUUGACGUUACCGACAGAAUAAGCACCGGCUAACUCUGUGCCAGCAGCCGCGGUAAUACAGAGGGUGCAAGCGUUAAUCGGAAUUACUGGGCGUAAAGCGCGCGUAGGUGGCUUGUUAAGUUGGAUGUGAAAUCCCCGGGCUCAACCUGGGAACUGCAUUCAAAACUGACUGACUAGAGUAUGGUAGAGGGUGGUGGAAUUUCCUGUGUAGCGGUGAAAUGCGUAGAUAUAGGAAGGAACACCAGUGGCGAAGGCGACCACCUGGACUAAUACUGACACUGAGGUGCGAAAGCGUGGGGAGCAAACA
Molecule: ribosomal RNA, 427 nt
Filed under: uncultured bacterium
Lineage: Bacteria
Description: partial 16S ribosomal RNA
Rfam family: Bacterial small subunit ribosomal RNA
Source: RNAcentral